GUACACGCUGUGACUAGCAUAUCAAUAAGCGGAGGAAAAGAAACUAACAAGGAUUCCCUAGUAACGGCGAGUGAAGCGGGAAGAGCUCAAAUUUGAAAUCUUAAAGGGUUUCCCUUUACGAAUUGUAGUUUAAAGAAGUGUUUUCUGUUGAGGUUUUGGUAAAAGUUCUUUGGAAUAGGACAUCAUAGAGGGUGAGAAUCCCGUAUUUGACCUUUACUUUCAACUUUGUGAUACACUUUCAAAGAGUCGGAUUGUUUGGGAAUGCAGUCCAAAAUGGGUGGUAAAUUUCAUCUAAAGCUAAAUAUUGGCGAGAGACCGAUAGCGAACAAGUACCGUGAGGGAAAGAUGAAAAGAACUUUGAAAAGAGAGUUAAACAGUACGUGAAAUUGUCAAAAGGGAAGCGUUUGACACCAGUGUUGUUUUUCUGAAAAUCAAUUAGAGAACUGUUUAUGCUAAGCUGUUUAGACUUUAUCAGCUAUCUGUUUAGUUUUGAGCUUUUCUUUAAUGCACUUUUCAGUUAACAAGUCAACAUCAAUUUCUUUUGCUGUAAAAAAGCUUGAGGAAGGUGGCUUGAGAUUCGUCUUAAGUGUUUAUAGCCUCUUGCCUAUGCAGUCGGAGAGAUUGAGGUCUGCAGCGUAGAUCCUUCGGGGCUAAAUGCAUUUGUGCUAAGUUAUAGCAUUUUAUAGACAACUUGUUGACUAUGAUUUGUCUUGUAGCUUACUCGCUUAUGUUAUUUUACCUACGCUUAGGAUGUUGAAGAUGUAGCACAUCAU
Molecule: ribosomal RNA, 773 nt
Filed under: uncultured Neocallimastigales
Lineage: Eukaryota; Fungi; Neocallimastigomycota; Neocallimastigomycetes; Neocallimastigales
Description: partial large subunit ribosomal RNA
Rfam family: Eukaryotic large subunit ribosomal RNA
Source: RNAcentral